Molecule: ribosomal RNA, 460 nt
Filed under: uncultured bacterium
Lineage: Bacteria
Description: partial 16S ribosomal RNA
Rfam family: Bacterial small subunit ribosomal RNA
Source: RNAcentral
CCUACGGGUGGCAGCAGUGAGGAAUAUUGGUCAAUGGACGAGAGUCUGAACCAGCCAAGUAGCGUGAAGGAUGACUGCCCUAUGGGUUGUAAACUUCUUUUAUAUGGGAAUAAAACGUUCCACGUGUGGGAUUUUGUAUGUACCAUAUGAAUAAGGAUCGGCUAACUCCGUGCCAGCAGCCGCGGUAAUACGGAGGAUCCGAGCGUUAUCCGGAUUUAUUGGGUUUAAAGGGAGCGUAGGUGGAUUGUUAAGUCAGUUGUGAAAGUUUGCGGCUCAACCGUAAAAUUGCAGUUGAAACUGGCAGUCUUGAGUGCAGGAGAGGUGGGCGGAAUUCGUGGUGUAGCGGUGAAAUGCUUAGAUAUCACGAAGAACUCCGAUUGCGAAGGCAGUUCACUGGACUGCAACUGACACUGAGGCUCGAAAGUGUGGGUAUCAAACAGGAUUAGAUACCCCUGUAGUC